ACAACUUUCAGCGACGGAUAUCUCGGCUCAGGCACCUAUGAAGGGCGCAGCGAAGCGCGAUAGCCUUUGUGAAUUGCAGAUCUCCGUGAACCAAUGGCUCCCUGAACGCGCAUUGCACUCUUGGGACUUCCUGAGAGUAUGUUUGCUUCAGUGCUUAUU
RNAcentral lists this ribosomal RNA (159 nucleotides) under Symbiodinium sp. MMSG-2000. RNAcentral describes it as "5.8S ribosomal RNA". It matches the Rfam family "5.8S ribosomal RNA". From Rfam's summary of the family: 5.8S ribosomal RNA (5.8S rRNA) is a component of the large subunit of the eukaryotic ribosome. It is transcribed by RNA polymerase I as part of the 45S precursor that also contains 18S and 28S rRNA. Lineage: Eukaryota; Dinophyceae; Suessiales; Symbiodiniaceae. The record is from RNAcentral.